Molecule: ribosomal RNA, 395 nt
Filed under: uncultured bacterium
Lineage: Bacteria
Description: bacterial SSU rRNA
Rfam family: Bacterial small subunit ribosomal RNA
Source: RNAcentral
AUUGAACGCUGGCGGCAUGCCUUACACAUGCAAGUCGAACGGCAGCACGGGAGCAAUCCUGGUGGCGAGUGGCGAACGGGUGAGUAAUAUAUCGGAACGUGCCCAGUCGUGGGGAUAACGUAGCGAAAGCUACGCUAAUACCGCAUACGAUCUAUGGAUGAAAGCGGGGGAUCGCAAGACCUCGCGCGAUUGGAGCGGCCGAUAUCAGAUUAGGUAGUUGGUGAGGUAAAGGCUCACCAAGCCGACGAUCUGUAGCUGGUCUGAGAGGACGACCAGCCACACUGGGACUGAGACACGGCCCAGACUCCUACGGGAGGCAGCAGUGGGAAUUUGGACAAUGGGCGCAAGCCUGAUCCAGCAAUGCCGCGUGCAGGAUGAAGGCCUUCGGUUGUAAC